GGGAAUUUUGGGCAAUGGGCGAAAGCCUGACCCAGCAACGCCGCGUGAGGGAUGAAGUAUUUCGGUAUGUAAACCUCGAAAGAAUGGGAAGAAUAAAUGACGGUACCAUUUAUAAGCUCCGGCUAACUACGUGCCAGCAGCCGCGGUAAUACGUCGGGAGCAAGCGUUGUUCGGAUUUACUGGGCGUAAAGGGCGCGUAGGCGGCGCGGUAAGUCACUUGUGAAAUCUCUGAGCUUAACUCAGAACGGCCAAGUGAUACUGCUGUGCUAGAGUGCGGAAGAGGCAACCGGAAUUCUUGGUGUAGCGGUGAAAUGCGUAGAUAUCAAGAGGAACACCUGAGGCGAAGGCGGGUUGCUGGGCCGACACUGACGCUGAUGCGCGAAAGCCAGGGGAGCAAACG
This 400-nucleotide ribosomal RNA is filed under the name uncultured bacterium. Its description in RNAcentral is "bacterial SSU rRNA". It matches the Rfam family "Bacterial small subunit ribosomal RNA", at positions 357 to 774 of the family's 1533-position model. The record is from RNAcentral.